CAGAAAAUAGUAUAUUUAAGUAUAUAAAUUUUGGAAAUUUAUGGGGAAUUCCUUUUCUGA
This 60-nucleotide transfer RNA is filed under the name Robertsicus elaphensis. Its description in RNAcentral is "tRNA-Pro". Lineage: Eukaryota; Metazoa; Arthropoda; Arachnida; Ixodida; Ixodidae. The record is from RNAcentral.